ACUGUUUCUCAGCCUUCUGGCUAAGAUCAUGUGUAGUAUUAUUAGUUUUUCAUCUGAUAUGUCCUUCAUCUAUGAAAUAUAUAUAUAGGGAAGCAGUACUAGGGGCUGAACCCAGAGCAUUUGCCUUGAGGUACAUCCCCAGCCCUUUUUAAAAUUUAUUUUAAGAUGGGCAUGGUGG
Cavia porcellus (domestic guinea pig) is the source of this 178-nucleotide small nuclear RNA. Its record names the gene U2. It matches the Rfam family "U2 spliceosomal RNA". Rfam says of the family: U2 is a small nuclear RNA (snRNA) component of the spliceosome (involved in pre-mRNA splicing). Complementary binding between U2 snRNA (in an area lying towards the 5' end but 3' to hairpin I) and the branchpoint sequence (BPS) of the intron results the bulging out of an unpaired adenosine, on the BPS, which initiates a nucleophilic attack at the intronic 5' splice site, thus starting the first of two transesterification reactions that mediate splicing. NCBI's taxonomy places the organism in Eukaryota, Metazoa, Chordata, Mammalia, Rodentia, Caviidae. The record is from Ensembl.